RNAcentral lists this ribosomal RNA (484 nucleotides) under uncultured bacterium. RNAcentral's name for it is "partial 16S ribosomal RNA". It matches the Rfam family "Bacterial small subunit ribosomal RNA", at positions 30 to 507 of the family's 1533-position model. The record is from RNAcentral.
AUUGAACGCUGGCGGCAGGCCUAACACAUGCAAGUCGAGCGGAUGAAGGGAGCUUGCUCCUGGAUUCAGCGGCGGACGGGUGAGUAAUGCCUAGGAAUCUGCCUGGUAGUGGGGGAUAACGUCCGGAAACGGGCGCUAAUACCGCAUACGUCCUGAGGGAGAAAGUGGGGGAUCUUCGGUCCUCACGCUAUCAGAUGAGCCUAGGUCGGAUUAGCUAGUUGGUGGGGUAAAGGCCUACCAAGGCGACGAUCCGUAACUGGUCUGAGAGGAUGAUCAGUCACACUGGAACUGAGACACGGUCCAGACUCCUACGGGAGGCAGCAGUGGGGAAUAUUGGACAAAGGGCGAAAGCCUGAUCCAGCCAUGCCGCGUGUGUGAAGAAGGUCUUCGGAUUGUAAAGCACUUUAAGUUGGGAGGAAGGGCAGUAAGUUAAUACCUUGCUGUUUUGACGUUACCAACAGAAUAAGCACCGGCUAACUUCGUG